CUAAUGGCUUAGAGAAAAAAGGACAGCUU
RNAcentral lists this non-coding RNA (29 nucleotides) under Cricetulus griseus (Chinese hamster). The record is from RNAcentral. Lineage: Eukaryota; Metazoa; Chordata; Mammalia; Rodentia; Cricetidae.